UCCGGGUCGCGGCUCCUCCCAUAGGGACUUUCACACGGAGCCGCCGACACGCAGCCCGCAGCCCUCAGCCCUUUCCUCGGCGCUCGGAAGCUUCCCUCCGCCGGGAGAAACCGCGGGCCCCUGGUGCGGGACGCCACGCUGGCUCCGGACCCCCAGAUUGGAUUGCUGUUUCAUGUCCAUUUUGGAUAUUCUGUUUAUUCUCAGAAGAAAUUCCCUGCCUUGCCAGAAGACACCCCACCUCAAGAGCCCCAGAUUGAUUCUGACUCAAAACCAAGGGUUUGAAAGGAACCAGAUCAUCUAAGUUGUCCCCUGACAGCCUGGGCUACUCUGAAAGGUCAUGUCUUCUUGGAGUUCCAGGAAUGAAAUAGAGCCUAGGCCUCUUCCAACUACUACCCUCUGGAGUUCAAAAGGAAAAACAACCAGUGGGUGGUGCUGACCCAGGAUGGAGUGAUGUCAGAGGCCCCUCUCCCAGACUGGGAGCUCAGAGAAGGCUUUCCAAAAGAAGGAUCAUCUAUACUACAACCCAAAGGAUGAGUAAUCAUUUGGUGAAUGGGAAAGGAAGAGGAUUCCAGACAGAAGGAAUAGCCUGUUCAAAAUCCCACUCACAGUGGGAAAGCUCCUGGAGGUGCCUAUGGUUAGGCACAGAGCACCAAGGAGGGGUGGAGAAGAGGCUGGAAAGGUACACAGCACGCGGAGACUCUGUUAAGAACUUUUGGCUUUAUCCCAAAUGGGCAGCUACUGAAGGGUUUCCAGCAGAGGCAUGAUCUGUCAGACUGAUGUAUUAAAGAUACCACUUGAGUUGCCCAGUGGAUAAGAUGGCCCAGGAAGGGCACAUAGAAUAAGAAAAGUCUUAGACACACCGUCAUCAACAACAUUAUCAAAGACAACAGCAAAAUUAAGUGACAAACAGAAGAGGAACCCAUAACAGAAACAGAAGAGGGUCCACAGGAAUUGAAAGAAAACCAAGAGAGUGUGGCAAUCCUAAAACAUAAGAGAAUCUCCAGAAGUUCAGGGCAUAAUUAGAAUCAAUCGCUACCAAGCGGAACAGUAAGACGGCUAUUGGAAAUAACUGGAUUUAGCAAUCAGAUUAUUGACAACCUCGUUGAAAACACUUUAAGUCAAUUGUAUCUAUGUUCAUCUAUCCCCUCCAAUUACCAUCAGUUCCUAGACCAAUGUCUUCCAAAUGGAUAUCUUGAGUCCAGACCUCCUCUUUGAAUUCCACACCCAGAUACAAUUGACUACUCAACAUCUUAACUUGAAUAAAAGGUAUCUCAAACGCAGGUUCCAAGACCAAUAAUCUCCCUGCCCCAACCUAGUCAUCCUGAAAUACUCCUCGACUCAGUGUUGGUUCCUCCAUUCUUCCACUGCAGAGUCCAUCCUUGACAACCCCUUUUUUCUCACCACCACCCCACACUUCUAACCCAUUGCUAAUCUUGUCAAUGUUUCCUGCCUGUGUGUUUUUAUCUCCACUGCCAACAUCUGAAAGCAAGGCACCAUCUUCUUUCUCACCUGAACAGAAGUGAUAGCCUCCUAACGGGUUUCUCAUAUCCAUCCACCUCUGCACUCCUUCCACCUACUCCCCACUCAGCAGCUGGAGUCAUCUGUUUUGUUUGUUUUGUUUUUUCAUGUACAAAAUUGUUUGCAUCACUUGUUUCAACCCUUUGAUCGUGUCCCAGGGAUUAAAGGCAAAAUCAAAAUUCUUUAACUGAUAUAGAAAGUUCUGCUUGAUAUGGCCCUGGCCUGUCUUCCCAGAUGCAAUUCACUGCACAUUCCCUCUUACCCUCUGUUUUCCCGCCACAGUGGCCUUCUCUCCAUUUCUUAUACGCACCAUGCAUCCAACAUAGGUCUGGUAUCAUCUACUCUGUCUCUGUGGCUAAGAACAUGAGCUCAAGUAUUGAACUAGGUUAAAAUCCCACCUCUACCCCUUUUUGGUUCAAUGGCCCUGAAUAAAGUACUCAAUCA
Molecule: long non-coding RNA, 1962 nt
Organism: Sciurus carolinensis (gray squirrel)
Lineage: Eukaryota; Metazoa; Chordata; Mammalia; Rodentia; Sciuridae
Exons: 4
Source: RefSeq, a predicted model, not a curated record